Molecule: ribosomal RNA, 474 nt
Filed under: Streptococcus mitis
Lineage: Bacteria; Bacillati; Bacillota; Bacilli; Lactobacillales; Streptococcaceae
Description: bacterial SSU rRNA
Rfam family: Bacterial small subunit ribosomal RNA
Source: RNAcentral
GACGAACGCUGGCGGCGUGCCUAAUACAUGCAAGUAGAACGCUGAAGGAGGAGCUUGCUUCUCCGGAUGAGUUGCGAACGGGUGAGUAACGCGUAGGUAGCCUGCCUGGUAGCGGGGGAUAACUAUUGGAAACGAUAGCUAAUACCGCAUAAGAGUAGAUGUUGCAUGACAUUUGCUUAAAAGGUGCAAUUGCAUCACUACCAGAUGGACCUGCGUUGUAUUAGCUAGUUGGUGGGGUAACGGCUCACCAAGGCGACGAUACAUAGCCGACCUGAGAGGGUGAUCGGCCACACUGGGACUGAGACACGGCCCAGACUCCUACGGGAGGCAGCAGUAGGGAAUCUUCGGCAAUGGACGAAAGUCUGACCGAGCAACGCCGCGUGAGUGAAGAAGGUUUUCGGAUCGUAAAGCUCUGUUGUAAGAGAAGAACGAGUGUGAGAGUGGAAAGUUCACAGUGUGACGGAUCUACCAGAA